GGGGAAGCAGCCGUCGGCGGCGGCCGUGAGCCCGGCUGGGGAAGCGGAGAGGGUGGUAGGCGCAGAGCGCGGUCCCCGCCCGCCGGCUCCGAGCCAUGGGAAGAUGAGACAGGAAUCAGUGCCACCUGAAUUGUUUGAUCCAGUGAAUCUGCAAAGAAAGGUCUCUGAGGCCCCCCGUCUGCUGACUGCAUGACAAACCCUAAAGGAAAUGCCAGUCGUGAUGGCCCGGGACCUGGAGGAGACAGCAUCAUCCUCAGAGGAUGAGGAGGUGGUAAGCCAAGAGGAUCAUCCGUGUAUCAUGUGGACCGGAGGCUGCAGGAGAAUUCCAGUUUUGGUAUUCCAUGCUGAGGCUAUUCUGACAAAGGACAACAAUAUUCGAGUAAUUGGCGAACGUUAUCAUUUGUCUUACAAGAUUGUGCGAACAGAUAGUCGCCUGGUACGCAGCAUUCUGACAGCCCAUGGAUUUCAUGAAGUUCACCCAAGCAGCACUGACUAUAACCUAAUGUGGACAGGAUCCCACCUGAAGCCCUUCUUACUUCGCACCCUUUCUGAAGCACAAAAGGUUAAUCACUUUCCCAGGUCAUAUGAACUAACCCGGAAGGACCGACUGUACAAAAACAUCAUUCGAAUGCAGCAUACGCAUGGAUUCAAGGCUUUUCACAUCCUCCCUCAGACCUUUCUUCUGCCAGCUGAGUAUGCGGAAUUCUGUAAUUCAUACUCAAAGGACCGGGGACCUUGGAUAGUAAAACCAGUGGCCUCUUCUAGGGGGCGGGGCGUCUACCUGAUCAACAAUCCAAACCAGAUUUCCCUGGAAGAGAACAUCCUGGUCUCCCGUUACAUUAACAACCCCCUGCUCAUAGAUGAUUUCAAGUUUGAUGUGCGCCUCUAUGUGCUUGUGACUUCCUACGAUCCCCUUGUCAUCUAUCUCUAUGAAGAAGGGCUGGCUAGGUUUGCAACCGUGCGAUAUGAUCAAGGAGCCAAGAACAUUCGGAACCAGUUCAUGCACCUGACAAACUACAGUGUGAAUAAGAAGAGUGGAGACUAUGUGAGUUGUGAUGAUCCAGAAGUGGAGGAUUAUGGGAACAAAUGGAGCAUGAGUGCCAUGCUUAGGUAUCUGAAACAAGAAGGUAGAGAUACAACUGCAUUGAUGGCCCAUGUGGAAGACCUGAUUAUUAAGACUAUAAUCUCUGCUGAACUAGCUAUUGCUACAGCCUGUAAAACCUUUGUUCCUCACCGCAGCAGUUGUUUUGAACUCUAUGGCUUUGAUGUGCUCAUAGAUUCUACUCUGAAGCCAUGGUUGUUGGAAGUAAAUCUCUCUCCUUCUUUGGCCUGUGACGCACCUCUGGACCUAAAGAUUAAAGCCAGUAUGAUUUCAGACAUGUUCACUGUUGUAGGAUUUGUGUGCCAGGACCCUGCCCAGCGGGCAUCAACCCGGCCAAUUUAUCCCACCUUUGAGUCUUCCAGGCGGAACCCUUUCCAGAAACCUCAGCGUCCAGUGUCUGCACAGUUUCAGUCCUCAAACGCCAAACAGCGUUCCCGUCCCCUCUCUGCCAGUGAUGCGGAAAUGAAAAACCUUGUGGGCUCAGCCCGAGAGAAGGUUCCGGGGAAGUUAGGUGGUUCUGUGCUCGGUCUGUCAAUGGAGGAGAUCAAAGUUUUACGGAGAGUGAAGGAAGAAAAUGAUCGGAGAGGUGGAUUUAUUCGCAUAUUCCCUACAUCAGAGACAUGGGAAAUAUAUGGGUCCUACCUCGAACACAAGACUUCCAUGAACUAUAUGCUGGCAACACGUCUCUUCCCGGACAGGGGAAACCCAAGAAGAAGCUUAUUGACAGGAAGAACACGACUGGCUGCUGACGGAGCACCGGAAUUGAAGGUGGAGAGUAUGAACUCCAAGGCCAAACUGCACGCUGCCCUCUAUGAGAGGAAGCUCCUGUCUUUGGAGGUGCGGAAACGUCGACGACGGAAUGGCAGAUUGAGGGCAAUGAGGCCAAAAUACCCAGGUACCUGCUGCAACAUUAGUGAUUCUUCGCAUUUAGUGAUCACUCAACCAGCUGAAAUGAAUGUUAAAACCGAGACAGAGAGUGAAGAGGAGGAAGAAGUUGCAUUAGAUGACGAAGAUGAAGAACAGGAGGCUUCCCAGGAGGAGUCUGCAGGGUCCCUCGGAGAAAGUCAAGCCAAAUACACCCCCCCACUGACUGUUAUGGUAGAAAAUUCACCCAAAGAAAAUGCUGCGAAAGUUUCUGAAUGGAACAAUAAAGGUGAACAGUGCUGCAAAAUUGAGACUCAGGAGCCAGAGCCUAAAUUUAACCUGAUGCAGAUUCUGCAAGAUAACGGCAAUCUUAGCAAAGUGCAGGCCCGAAGAGCGUUCUCUGCCUAUCUCCAGCAUGUUCAGAUUCGCCUGAUGAAAGACAGUGGAGGUCAAACGUUCAGUGCCAGUUGGGCUGCCAAAGAGGAUGAACAGAUGGAGCUAGUGGUUCGCUUCCUUAAACGAGCAUCAAGUAACCUCCAGCACUCGAUGCGGAUGGUAUUACCCAGUCGACGAUUGGCACUUCUGGAACGCAGAAGAAUCUUGGCCCACCAACUGGGCGACUUUAUUCUUGUGUACAACAAGGAAACAGAACAGAUGGCUGAAAAGAAAUCAAAGAAGAAACUUGAGGAAGAGGAGGAAGAUGGGGUGAAUACAGAAAACUUUCAGGAGUUCAUCAGACAAGCAAGUGAGGCUGAACUGGAGGAGGUGUUGACUUUUUAUACCCAAAAAAACAAGUCUGCAAGUGUCUUCCUGGGGACUCACUCAAAAAGUUCUAAAAACAGCAACAGUUAUUCUGAUAGCAGGGCAAAGGGUGAUCACCAUGAGACAAUGGAAGAAGUGAAAAUAAAGCAACCCAAACAGCAGCAGGCAACAGAAAUUCACUCUGAUAAAUUAUCUCGAUUUACCACUUCAGCAGAACAAGAGGCUAAAUUAGUCUAUACCAAUUCUUCCUCUGCUUCUUUCUCUGGUCCUGCUGCUACUCUUCUGCAGAAAAUUCCCAAUACCCACUUGUCAUCUAUUGUUACAACCUCUGACCUCUCACCGGGGCCUGGCCAUCAUUCUUCUUUAUGUCAGAUUCCUCCAGCUAUCCCCAGCAUGUCUCACCAGCCAACAAUUGUACUGAGCACAGUCCCUGACAAUGCUUCUCCCUUCGUGCAUCCUGGGACACAGAACGUACCAAGCCCGGCUGGCCUGCCCCGCUGUCGAUCAGGCAGUUACACCAUUGGCCCCUUUUCCUCUUUCCAAAGUGCUGCACACAUCUAUAGCCAGAAACUGUCUCGUCCCUCCUCAGCAAAGGCAGCAGGGUCAUGCCAUCCAAACAAGCUGCAUUUGGGAGUGGCUAAAACACAAAAAGAGGGAGAAGAUGAUUCUCCAUCCAGCAAACGGUACAACCCAAGUAUGGUUACGGCCGAGCUCCAGCGGCUGGCUGAGAAGCAGGCGGCCAGGCAGUAUUCCCCAUCCACCCACAUCAGUCUCCUCACCCAGCAGGUAACAAACCUGAAUUUGUCAAGUGGCGCCAUAAGCAGAAGCAGCGCUUCAACGCCCCCCACCCUUCGGCCCGUGAUCAGUCCUAAUGGCCCGACAUGGCCCAUACAGUCAGACCUUCAGGCUCCUGAGAGCCACCCCACCCCUCCUGGAAGCAGGAGCCUUCAAACAGGUGGCUUUGCCUGGGAGGGAGAGGUAGAGAACAACGCAUAUAGCAAGGCUACAGGGGUUGUCCCUCAGCACAAGUAUCACCCCACAGCGGGCAGUUACCAACUCCAUUUUGCCCUGCAGCAACUUGAACAACAAAAACUUCAGUCCCGGCAGCUUCUGGACCAGAGUCGAGCCCGGCAUCAGCUAGUGAACAUCAUCGUAAGACUAGAAAAGUAUGUUGAAAAAUGCCCAACCAGCUGCCAUUCACAGACCCUACAGAGGCAGACCUGCAUGCCAUCCCAUCCUUCGGAUCCUCAGCAAACGGAGGCCAUCUUUGGCAGCCAGACCCUACCUAACUCCAAUUUAUGGACAAUAAAUAAUGGUGCAGCUUGCAGAAUUUCAAGUGCCACAGCUAGUGGCCAGAAGCCAGCCGCUCUACCGCAAAAAGUGGUGCCGGCUCCAAGUUCUUCCUCCUCGCUGGUCCCCAAGCCCCCAGCCAAUCACAAACAAGUCCUCAGGAAGAUGACAUCCCAGAAGGCCUCCAAAGGGUCCACAGAAGGGCAGCUGAAUGGACUCCAGAGCAGCCUUAACUCUGCAGCCUUUGUGCCCAUCACCAGCUCCACAGAUCCUGCUCGCACUAAAAGAUGAGCCACAACCGCACUGGGGAAGAACCUAUUUGCUGUCCCGCUACUGCCAUGGGUGUGUCGGAGGCGCUGCGAGGGGUCCAUGCAGAUGGCGGGCCCAGGCCGCUCCCCGCGGGCAGCUCCUGUACCUGGGAAGCUCGUAUGUGCAAAUGUGUCCGUUGUCAGCCCGCAGCAGACAGGUCCUCUAGUGGCCAGUGGAUCUGCACCCGUAAACAGUUCGUCAGAAGGAGGCCGCACAGCCCCUGAUGGCUUUCCACUUGACCUCUGCUCCCUUGCCCCCUCACCUUUCCCCGGCCCUCUCUCUGGCUUCUGUGGAAGAAGAGGUUGAAAGGUGGGCUACAGAGCCCACCGAAGGACUGACUUAGCUGCCCUGGGGAGUACUGGGCGAGGAUCCAGAGUCUGGGGUUUCUACAACAGGGUGCUGUAGACUCAGCAUGGAAACCCCAAAGGAAGAAUGACACCCAACAAGGAAGAGAGAAAAGGGACUUUAUUGACUUCUUAGCGAACGAAAACAGGUUUGAGCACACUGAAGCGUCUUGUUUGCGUGUGAGGGAUGAAGACCCUCACUUUGCGGGAGAAGAGAGAACGUAUUCAUGGGAUUUCUGGUUAGUAGCUUGAGGUCCAUCUUAACCGUUUGCUAAUUUGGUUGUGAAUUGGUUAACGGGAGACAAAUCGGAGUUCCUUCAUGAUUCCCUAAGUGGUGUGUAGAACCAGGAAAUGAGAUGUUUGGGGAGACUCAGCAUAUGGAUCUUGUGGGAGAGGAUAAGAGGGUAUGAGCCCAGUUUAAAAACCAAAAAACAAAAGACCUUUGAGACCUACUAGACCGCUUGGAAUUGCCCUAGGUAACCGUCAGAAUUGAGUCCUCAACCUGAUUUCUUACGGCACUCACCACUUGCUUAUCCGGUGUGAGACCAGACUCCAGAUCUCUCCUUCAUUUAACCAAGUGCUUUUCACAUCAUCUCUCCUGUACUGGACUUCUUGUGGCAAGUCCAAGUCUUGGUAAUAAACAAAACAGAUCAUACGAUCCGCCCCCCCACCUCCAACAACCGUGUCAUUUCCACGUGUCCCUACCUCCCUUCCCCCAAAACAAGCGUGUAUUUUUUUUCAGACAGACAGACAAUGGUUCAAGUUUCUGCAGUGCCUAUAAGUGGCAUGUGGAAUGCAGAGACUGGACUUCAGACCCCCGUCCAUAUUUGUAUCUGCUGGUAAAGAUAAGAAUAGAGCUCUAAUAUAAAAAGAACAUUUGGAAUCACA
Molecule: RNA transcript, 5559 nt
Organism: Leopardus geoffroyi (Geoffroy's cat)
Lineage: Eukaryota; Metazoa; Chordata; Mammalia; Carnivora; Felidae
Gene: TTLL5
Gene name: tubulin tyrosine ligase like 5
Exons: 36
Source: RefSeq, a predicted model, not a curated record